AACGAACGCUGGCGGCAGGCCUAACACAUGCAAGUCGAACGCUGUAGCAAUACAGAGUGGCAGACGGGUGAGUAACACGUGGGAAUCUUCCUAUCGGUACGGAAUAGCUCAGGGAAACUUGGGGUAAUACCGCAUACGCCCUUCGGGGGAAAGAUUUAUCGCCGAUAGAUGAGCCCGCGUCUGAUUAGCUAGUUGGUGAGGUAAUGGCUCACCAAGGCGACGAUCAGUAGCUGGUCUGAGAGGAUGACCAGCCACACUGGGACUGAGACACGGCCCAGACUCCUACGGGAGGCAGCAGUGGGGAAUAUUGGACAAUGGGCGCAAGCCUGAUCCAGCCAUGCCGCGUGAGUGACGAAGGUCUUCGGAUUGUAAAGCUCUUUUGGCGGGGACGAUAAUGACGGUACCCGCAGAAUAAGCCCCGGCUAACUUCGUGCCAGCCGCCGCCGUAA
RNAcentral lists this ribosomal RNA (449 nucleotides) under uncultured bacterium. RNAcentral's name for it is "partial 16S ribosomal RNA". It matches the Rfam family "Bacterial small subunit ribosomal RNA", at positions 29 to 523 of the family's 1533-position model. The record is from RNAcentral.